UGGAGGGUUGGCCGAGUGGUCUAAGGCGGCAGACUUAAGAUCUGUUGGACGGUUGUCCGCGCGAGUUCGAAACCUCGCAUCCUUCACCA
This 89-nucleotide transfer RNA is filed under the name Saccharomyces cerevisiae (brewer's yeast). RNAcentral describes it as "tRNA-leu". It matches the Rfam family "tRNA". Rfam says of the family: Transfer RNA (tRNA) molecules are approximately 80 nucleotides in length. Their secondary structure includes four short double-helical elements and three loops (D, anti-codon, and T loops). Lineage: Eukaryota; Fungi; Ascomycota; Saccharomycetes; Saccharomycetales; Saccharomycetaceae. The record is from RNAcentral.